AAGACUAUACUUUCAGGGAUCAUUUCUAUAGUUUCUGACUUGAGAAAUGUGUUUCUAAAGUGUGUGGUCUCGCUAACCACGAUGAAGAGUUAUUGAUACUCCCUUCUGAGCGUGAAGUGGGCAGAGAGACUUGAUUUAGUUCAUAUGCUCUCUGCUUUUGAUGACUGUUCACUGUCUUCUCUGGGGGCACUGAGGAAGGGGGUAUGAUCAGAGUGGUA
Mola mola (ocean sunfish) is the source of this 218-nucleotide small nucleolar RNA. NCBI's taxonomy places the organism in Eukaryota, Metazoa, Chordata, Actinopteri, Tetraodontiformes, Molidae. The record is from Ensembl.